GUUCACACUGUUUGUUCCACUGAUUGAGUUGGGGCCCGGCGAGCGGCGAGCGUCCACCUCGUGGGCCGAGUGCACAGCGCCGCGCUGGCAGAACCUCUCAGGAGAAGUCAAACACGCCAGAGACAGACAGUCACGCUGAUGGCAGCCACGGAGGAUUUACCACUGCUGCAUAUCUAAAAAGGGCUAAACUAGGGAAUAAAGCAGCUGAGGAAAUGGAUGCCUGUGGUCUGGUCCGAGGGCCUUACACCGGACAGGCGCAGGGCCCCCGACGAGGUGGUUCCCACCGGCACACACAAAAUGCCACUUUCACUGCUCGCCCCGAGGAGAGAGAAGGUCCAUAUAACAGUUCUAACGGAGCUCUGCAUCGAAUAUCUCAAAGGGACGAGGGAAACUCUGAAAGAAAUCAGAUGAGGACUCAUGGAUUAAUCUACGCUUUUGUAUCUCACAAAAGAAGUCGGCAUUGAGUUCAAAAGGAAGGGACUUGUUAGGCGUCCCCACGUGGAGGGGACGCUUGCUAUCUGCAGCUCCUCUCGAUCCGCUGCCUGUGCGUCAGGUAUCGACAUUUCUAUGGACUCCUCCGUAUUGAUCUGGCUCGAAUGUAGGGAGGUUAAUUGAAGCACGGAGUCAUAAUAAAACAGGAGGACCGGUCCGCGCCGCACUUUGUCUCCGUCCGCGUCAAGCUGCAGAGCUGAAAAUGUGAAAUAGGGACAUUUGUCUCUUUCUUCUAGGCAACAUCCUCGGAGAAUCCCUUCCUGGCAUCUCAGCUGGGAUCUUGUGCUUAAUUAUGCAUGUAGUAUGUUGUCAGAGGAAAUGUCUGAAACGGGGGUCGAGCUUGUCCCCUGUCGUUACCGCCAGAUAACAUCUAUUAAUUGCUUUAAUGACAACUCUUCCUUGGGAGGUCUUUGUCAUCUAAUUCAAGGUGGUGCAGUAACGAGACAUCCAGGGGACCGAAUUCAAAAGGGCUUGAUGUUCGGGAUCCAUUUCUAGAGCCUGUGUGGGAAAAACAUUAGUAAAUAGUUUUCCCAUUAUGAUUUUAAUAUGGGGCUUGAGUGAACGGGCUCUUACAGCACACUUAAAAGCUGCGACAUUUAGCUUUUGUAUCCUGGCAAAUUAUUCUAUUCGCUGUGUUUUUUUUUGAGAAUAUCAUAUCAUUUUUGAGAGGAUGUUUUUAUUUUGACGUUUUAUGUUUCCACAGCGACACCGCCGCCAUAGAAAGCAAAAUUCUGUGUGGUGGAUUCAGUGUACUUUUAACCUCAGAAUAAAA
Molecule: long non-coding RNA, 1264 nt
Organism: Gasterosteus aculeatus aculeatus (three-spined stickleback)
Lineage: Eukaryota; Metazoa; Chordata; Actinopteri; Perciformes; Gasterosteidae
Source: Ensembl